GGACUACCCGGGUUUCUAAUCCUGUUUGCUACCCACGCUUUCGCGCCUCAGCGUCAGUUGAUGCCCAGUGGACCGCCUUCGCCACGGGUAUUCCUCCCGAUAUCAACGCAUUUCACCGCUACACCGGGAAUUCUAUCCACCUCUGCAUCACUCUAGCUCGCCAGUAUGAAAAGCGGUUUCUUGGUUGAGCCAAGAGCUUUCACUUCUCACUUAACGAGCCGCCUACGCGCUCUUUACGCCCAGUAAAUCCGGACAACGCUUGCACCCUACGUCUUACCGCGGCUGCUGGCAC
RNAcentral lists this ribosomal RNA (292 nucleotides) under uncultured bacterium. RNAcentral describes it as "partial 16S ribosomal RNA". The record is from RNAcentral.